UGGCUUUCUGAUUAGGUACCGUCAAGAUGUGCACAGUUACUUACACAUAUGUUCUUCCCUAAUAACAGAGUUUUACGAUCCGAAGACCUUCAUCACUCACGCGGCGUUGCUCCGUCAGGCUUUCGCCCAUUGCGGAAGAUUCCCUACUGCUGCCUCCCGUAGGAGUCUGGACCGUGUCUCAGUUCCAGUGUGGCCGAUCACCCUCUCAGGUCGGCUAUGCAUCGUUGCCUUGGUAAGCCGUUACCUUACCAACUAGCUAAUGCAGCGCGGAUCCAUCUAUAAGUGACAGCAAGACCGUCUUUCACUUUUGAACCAUGCGGUUCAAAAUAUUAUCCGGUAUUAGCUCCGGUUUCCCGAAGUUAUCCCAGUCUUAUAGGUAGGUUAUCCACGUGUUACUCACCCGUCCGCCGCUAACAUCAGAGAAGCAAGCUUCUCGUCCGUUCGCUCGACUUGCAUGUAUUAGGCACGCCGCCAGCGUUCAUCCUGAGCCAGGAUCAAACCCUU
Molecule: ribosomal RNA, 504 nt
Filed under: uncultured bacterium
Lineage: Bacteria
Description: partial 16S ribosomal RNA
Source: RNAcentral